CAACCCAUGUGACGUUACCAAACUGUUGCCUCGGCGGGAUCUUCUGCCAGNGNNGANCNCAGCCCCGGACCAAGGCGCCCGCCGGAGGAAUCAANCAAAACUCUUAUUGUAUACCCCCUCGCGGGUUUUUUUUAUAAUCUGAGCCUUCUCGGCGCCUCUCGUAGGCGUUUCGAAAAUGAAUCAAAACUUUCAACAACGGAUCUCUUGGUUCUGGCAUCGAUGAAGAACGCAGCGAAAUGCGAUAAGUAAUGUGAAUUGCAGAAUUCAGUGAAUCAUCGAAUCUUUGAACGCACAUUGCGCCCGCCAGUAUUCUGGCGGGCAUGCCUGUCCGAGCGUCAUUUCAACCCUCGAACCCCUCCGGGGGGUCGGCGUUGGGGAUCGGCCUUCCUUCACGGGGGCCGUCUCCGAAAUACAGUGGCGGUCUCGCCGCAGCCUCUCCUGCGCAGUAGUUUGCACACUCGCAUCGGGAGCGCGGCGCGUCCACAGCCGUUAAACACCCAACUUUCUGAAAUGUUGACCUCGGAUCAGGGUAGGAAUACCCGCUGAACUUAAGCAUAUCAAUA
This 563-nucleotide ribosomal RNA is filed under the name Trichoderma sp. AH-Group-8. RNAcentral describes it as "eukaryotic LSU rRNA". The stretch from base 185 to 338 matches the Rfam family "5.8S ribosomal RNA". Lineage: Eukaryota; Fungi; Ascomycota; Sordariomycetes; Hypocreales; Hypocreaceae. The record is from RNAcentral.